This 673-nucleotide ribosomal RNA is filed under the name uncultured bacterium. RNAcentral describes it as "bacterial SSU rRNA". It matches the Rfam family "Bacterial small subunit ribosomal RNA", at positions 64 to 746 of the family's 1533-position model. The record is from RNAcentral.
GAGCGGAGACAGUGAGUAGCUUGCUAUGAGCUGUUUUAGCGGCGGACGGGUGAGUAACGCGUGAGCAACCUUUCCCAGACAGGGGAAUAACACACCGAAAGGUGUACUAAUACCGCAUAAGACCACGGGAUCACAUGGUUCUGAGGUAAAAGAUUUAUCGGUUUGGGGUGGGCUCGCGUCCGAUUAGGUAGUUGGUGAGGUAACGGCCCACCAAGCCGACGAUCGGUAGCCGACCUGAGAGGGUGAUCGGCCACAUUGGGACUGAGACACGGCCCAAACUCCUACGGGAGGCAGCAGUGGGGAAUAUUGGGCAAUGGAGGAAACUCUGACCCAGCAACGCCGCGUGGAGGGAGAAGGUUUUCGGAUCGUAAACUCCUGUCCUUGGGGACGAGUAGAAGACGGUAUCCAAGGAGGAAGCCCCGGCUAACUACGUGCCAGCAGCCGCGGUAAUACGUAGGGGGCAAGCGUUGUCCGGAAUAAUUGGGCGUAAAGGGCGCGUAGGCGGCUCGGUAAGUCUGGAGUGAAAGUCCUGCUUUUAAGGUGGGAAUUGCUUUGGAUACUGUCGGGCUUGAGUGCAGGAGAGGUUAGUGGAAUUCCCAGUGUAGCGGUGAAAUGCGUAGAGAUUGGGAGGAACACCAGUGGCGAAGGCGACUAACUGGACUGUAACUGACGC